Molecule: ribosomal RNA, 239 nt
Filed under: uncultured bacterium
Lineage: Bacteria
Description: partial 16S ribosomal RNA
Rfam family: Bacterial small subunit ribosomal RNA
Source: RNAcentral
CCGGCGCACGGGUGAGUAACGCGUAUCCAACCUGCCCAUCACUUGGGAAUAACCUUGCGAAAGUAAGACUAAUACCCAAUGACGUCUCUAGAAGACAUCUGAAAGGGAUUAAAGAUUUAUCGGUGAUGGAUGGGGAUGCGUCUGAUUAGCUUGUUGGCGGGGUAACGGCCCACCAAGGCUACGAUCAGUAGGGGUUCUGAGAGGAAGGUCCCCCACAUUGGAACUGAGACACGGUCCAA